RNAcentral lists this transfer RNA (135 nucleotides) under Haloferula luteola. RNAcentral's name for it is "tRNA-Arg". The record is from RNAcentral. Lineage: Bacteria; Pseudomonadati; Verrucomicrobiota; Verrucomicrobiia; Verrucomicrobiales; Verrucomicrobiaceae.
GGGGUAGCUCAGCGGUAGAGCAUGGAAGAUGUCUUCGACCUCCUUGUCGCGAAUCCUUGACUAAAAAUGGCGAAUGCAGGUGGAACUCCAUCGCUACGGACGACCAGGUCGCCGGUUCGAAUCCGGCUCGGGCCA